CGCGAUUCGCCCUUCGGGGUGCAGCAGGCGCGAAAACUUUGCAAUACACGAAAGUGUGACAGGGCUAUCCCGAGUGCCAUCCGCUGAGGAAGGCUUUUACCCAGUCUAGAACGCUGGGGGAAUAAGGAGAGGGCAAGUCUGGUGUCAGCCGCCGCGGUAAUACCAGCUCUCCGAGUGGUGUGGAUGUUUAUUGGGCCUAAAGCAUCCGUAGCUGGCUGAGUUAGUCCCUUGUUAAAUCCACCGAAUUAAUCGUUGGAUUGCGGGGGAUACUGCUCGGCUAGGGGACAAGAGAGGCAGACGGUAUUUCCGGGGUAGGGGUGAAAUCCUAUAAUCCCGGGAAGACCACCAGUGGCGAAGGCUGUCUGCUAGAACGCGCCCGACGGUGAGGGAUGAAAGCUGGGGGAGCGAACCGGAUUAGAUACCCGGGUAGUCCCAGCUGUAAACGAUGCAGGCUAGGUGUUUGGACGGCCACGUGCCGUUCUAGUGCCGCAGGGAAGCUGUUAAGCCUGCCGCCUGGGGAGUACGAUCGCAAGAUUGAAACUUAAAGGAAUUGGCGGGGGAGCAC
This 565-nucleotide ribosomal RNA is filed under the name uncultured archaeon. Its description in RNAcentral is "bacterial SSU rRNA". It matches the Rfam family "Archaeal small subunit ribosomal RNA", at positions 312 to 879 of the family's 1478-position model. The record is from RNAcentral.